GACGAACGCUGGCGGCGUGCUUAACACAUGCAAGUCGAACGAUGAAGCUGGAGCUUGCUCCGGUGGAUUAGUGGCGAACGGGUGAGUAACACGUGAGCAAUCUGCCCUUGACUCUGGGAUAACUGCGGGAAACUGUAGCUAAUACCGGAUAUGAGAUCUGAAGGCAUCUUCGGGUUUGGAAAGAAUUUCGGUCAAGGAUGAGCUCGCGGCCUAUCAGCUAGUUGGUGAGGUAAUGGCUCACCAAGGCGACGACGGGUAGCCGGCCUGAGAGGGUGACCGGCCACACUGGAACUGAGACACGGUCCAGACUCCUACGGGAGGCAGCAGUGGGGAAUAUUGCACAAUGGGCGAAAGCCUGAUGCAGCAACGCCGCGUGAGGGAUGAAGGCCUUCGGGUUGUAAACCUCUUUUAGCAGGGAAGAAGCGAAAGUGACGGUACCUGCAGAAAAAGCACCGGCUAACUACGUGCCAGCAGCCGCCGUAA
This 483-nucleotide ribosomal RNA is filed under the name uncultured bacterium. RNAcentral describes it as "partial 16S ribosomal RNA". It matches the Rfam family "Bacterial small subunit ribosomal RNA", at positions 28 to 523 of the family's 1533-position model. The record is from RNAcentral.